Molecule: ribosomal RNA, 611 nt
Filed under: Acinetobacter baumannii Canada BC-5
Lineage: Bacteria; Pseudomonadati; Pseudomonadota; Gammaproteobacteria; Moraxellales; Moraxellaceae
Description: bacterial SSU rRNA
Rfam family: Bacterial small subunit ribosomal RNA
Source: RNAcentral
AUGCAAGUCGAGCGGGGGAAGGUAGCUUGCUACCGGACCUAGCGGCGGACGGGUGAGUAAUGUUUAGGAAUCUGCCUAUUAGUGGGGGACAACAUCUCGAAAGGGAUGCUAAUACCGCAUACGUCCUACGGGAGAAAGCAGGGGAUCUUCGGACCUUGCGCUAAUAGAUGAGCCUAAGUCGGAUUAGCUAGUUGGUGGGGUAAAGGCCUACCAAGGCGACGAUCUGUAGCGGGUCUGAGAGGAUGAUCCGCCACACUGGGACUGAGACACGGCCCAGACUCCUACGGGAGGCAGCAGUGGGGAAUAUUGGACAAUGGGGGGAACCCUGAUCCAGCCAUGCCGCGUGUGUGAAGAAGGCCUUAUGGUUGUAAAGCACUUUAAGCGAGGAGGAGGCUACUUUAGUUAAUACCUAGAGAUAGUGGACGUUACUCGCAGAAUAAGCACCGGCUAACUCUGUGCCAGCAGCCGCGGUAAUACAGAGGGUGCGAGCGUUAAUCGGAUUUACUGGGCGUAAAGCGUGCGUAGGCGGCUUAUUAAGUCGGAUGUGAAAUCCCCGAGCUUAACUUGGGAAUUGCAUUCGAUACUGGUGAGCUAGAGUAUGGGAGAGGAUG